Molecule: ribosomal RNA, 254 nt
Filed under: uncultured bacterium
Lineage: Bacteria
Also listed under: 1 other name
Description: partial 16S ribosomal RNA
Rfam family: Bacterial small subunit ribosomal RNA
Source: RNAcentral
UACGGAGGGAGCGAGCGUUGUCCGAAGUUACUGGGCGUAAAGCGCGCGUAGGCGGGAAAUUAAGUGAGAAGUGAAAGGCUGGGGCUUAACCCCAUGCAGUGCUCCUCAUACUGGUUUUCUUGAGGGUGGUAGAGAGAAGUGGAAUGGCUGGUGUAGCGGUGAAAUGCGUAGAUAUCAGUCGGAACACCAGUGGCGAAGGCGGCUUCUUGGGCCAUUACUGACGCUGAGGCGCGAAAGCCAGGGGAGCGAACGGG